This 800-nucleotide ribosomal RNA is filed under the name uncultured bacterium. RNAcentral describes it as "bacterial SSU rRNA". It matches the Rfam family "Bacterial small subunit ribosomal RNA", at positions 8 to 790 of the family's 1533-position model. The record is from RNAcentral.
AGAGUUUGAUCCUGGCUCAGGACGAACGCUGGCGGCGUGCCUAACACAUGCAAGUCGAACGGAGAAUUAGCAAUAAUUCUUAGUGGCGAACGGGUGAGUAACGCGUAGACAACCUACCCUUUAGAUGGGGACAACACCGCGAAAGUGGUGCUAAUACCGAAUAUUGCUUGAGAAGCGCAUGCUUUUCAAACUAAAGAUGGCCUCUAUAUAUAAGCUAUCGCUAAAGAAUGGGUCUGCGUCUGAUUAGCUAGUUGGUGAGAUAAAAGCUCACCAAGGCAACGAUCAGUAGCCGGUCUGAGAGGAUGAACGGCCACACUGGGACUGAGACACGGCCCAGACUCCUACGGGAGGCAGCAGUGGGGAAUCUUCCGCAAUGGACGAAAGUCUGACGGAGCAACGCCGCGUGAGUGAUGAAGGUUUUCGGAUCGUAAAACUCUGUUGUUAAGGACGAAUGUAUAGAUUGUGAAUAAUGGUUUAUAAUGACGGUACUUAACGAGGAAGCCACGGCUAACUACGUGCCAGCAGCCGCGGUAAUACGUAGGUGGCAAGCGUUGUCCGGAAUUAUUGGGCGUAAAGGGAGCGCAGGUGGGAAUGUAAGUCAAUCUUAAAAGUGCGGGGCUCAACCCCGUGAUGGGAUAGAAACUACAUUUCUUGAGUGCAGGAGAGGAAAGUGGAAUUCCUAGUGUAGCGGUGAAAUGCGUAGAUAUUAGGAGGAACACCAGUGGCGAAGGCGACUUUCUGGACUGUUACUGACACUGAGGCUCGAAAGCUAGGGGAGCGAACGGGAUUAGAUACCCCGG